UGCAUAUCAAUAAGCGGAGGAAAAGAAACUAACAAGGAUUCCCCUAGUAACUGCGAGUGAAGCGGGAAGAGCUCAAAUUUAAAAUCUGGCGUGCCUCUGGCCGUCCGAGUUGUAGUCUGGAGAAGCGUUUUCCGUGUUGGACCGUGUACAAGUCUCUUGGAACAGGGCGUCAUAGAGGGUGAGAAUCCCGUCUUUGACACGGACUACCAAUGCUUUGUGAUGCGCUCUCAAAGAGUCGAGUUGUUUGGGAAUGCAGCUCAAAAUGGGUGGUAAAUUCCAUCUAAAGCUAAAUAUAGGCGAGAGACCGAUAGCGAACAAGUACCGUGAGGGAAAGAUGAAAAGCACUUUGGAAAGAGAGUUAAACAGUACGUGAAAUUGCUGAAAGGGAAACGCUUGAAGUCAGUCACGUCUGCCAGGACUCAGCCUUGCUUCUGCUUGGUGUACUUUCUGGUUUGAUGGGCCAACAUCAAUUUUGACCGUUGGAGAAAGGCCUUGGGAACGUGGCACCUUCGGGUGUGUUAUAGCCCUUUGCUGUAUACGACGGUUGGGAUUGAGGACUGCAGCACGCCUUCAUGGCCGGGGUUCGCCCACGUACGUGCUUAGGAUGUUGGCAUAAUGGCUUUAAGCGACCCGUCUUGAAACACGGACCA
RNAcentral lists this ribosomal RNA (650 nucleotides) under uncultured Thelephoraceae. RNAcentral describes it as "eukaryotic LSU rRNA". It matches the Rfam family "Eukaryotic large subunit ribosomal RNA", at positions 37 to 668 of the family's 3401-position model. The record is from RNAcentral. Lineage: Eukaryota; Fungi; Basidiomycota; Agaricomycetes; Thelephorales; Thelephoraceae.